The sequence is a regulatory RNA element, 141 nucleotides long. It matches the Rfam family "Ribosomal protein L20 leader". From Rfam's summary of the family: This family is a putative r-protein leader autoregulatory structure found in B. subtilis and other low-GC Gram-positive bacteria. It is located in the 5' untranslated regions of mRNAs encoding initiation factor 3 followed by ribosomal proteins L35 and L20 (infC-rpmI-rplT). The record is from Rfam.
ACGAAAAAGCAGAAGCAUCCCGCUUCUCGCCUGAGUGAUCGAAAGAGAUGGCUAGGCAUGAUAUCGGAUUAACCUUUGAUUUAAUGUUCAAAGGACCAAAAGCGGGUGCUCAACUGUGGGCAUCCGCUUUUUUCUGCUUUU